This 523-nucleotide ribosomal RNA is filed under the name uncultured soil bacterium. RNAcentral describes it as "bacterial SSU rRNA". It matches the Rfam family "Bacterial small subunit ribosomal RNA", at positions 8 to 526 of the family's 1533-position model. The record is from RNAcentral.
AGAGUUUGAUCCUGGCUCNNAUUGAACGCUGGCGGCAUGCCUUACACAUGCAAGUCGAACGGCAGCACGGACUUCGGUCUGGUGGCGAGUGGCGAACGGGUGAGUAAUGCAUCGGAACGUGCCCUGAAGUGGGGGAUAACGUAGCGAAAGUUACGCUAAUACCGCAUAUUCUGUGAGCAGGAAAGCAGGGGAUCGCAAGACCUUGUGCUUUAGGAGCGGCCGAUGUCGGAUUAGCUAGUUGGUGAGGUAAAGGCUCACCAAGGCAACGAUCCGUAGCGGGUCUGAGAGGAUGAUCCGCCACACUGGGACUGAGACACGGCCCAGACUCCUACGGGAGGCAGCAGUGGGGAAUUUUGGACAAUGGGCGCAAGCCUGAUCCAGCCAUGCCGCGUGAGUGAAGAAGGCCUUCGGGUUGUAAAGCUCUUUCGGCGGGGAAGAAAUCGCAUUCACUAAUACUGGAUGUGGAUGACGGUACCCGAAUAAGAAGCACCGGCUAACUACGUGCCAGCCGCCGCGGUAAUUC